GUCUAUGGCCAUACCACCCUGAACAAACCCGAUCCCCUCUGUUCUCAGAACCUAAGCAGGGUUGGGCCUGGUUAGUACUUGGAUAGGAGACCACCUAGGAAGACCAGGUGCUGUCGGUG
Molecule: ribosomal RNA, 119 nt
Filed under: Pteropus alecto (black flying fox)
Lineage: Eukaryota; Metazoa; Chordata; Mammalia; Chiroptera; Pteropodidae
Source: RNAcentral